UAAAUGGCCAUGAGAUAUGUUAAUAUCCCCUUUUUCUGUGUUCAGAGCUUACCAAAGCAAUAGCAAACCUUGCAAAACCAUGAAAGAAACCACAAAUAUAUGCGACAUGGAUUCGGGUUCUUAACUCUGAUAAAACUCCGGGUGGAUCCAGUGAAAUUAUUGCACCUGCUCCAGAAGGGAAUUCUGCGGGGAGAAAAGAGAGUCAGUGUGUGAAAUUGGAUAUUUUGAAGCGGCAGAGGGGAGGAAGAAUUUCCCCAGUGCGCACCUCUGGGUACCCUCCUACCACCGACAUCAAAAGAAGCGAGCCGGUCGGUCAGAUAUAACGCUUGAUGAACAGAACACAGACCGAAGAUGACAAGAGGGAAGUUUACAAGGAGGUUUUACACGACAUAGGAGAUUUCAUUCACCACCAGCGACAACACAGUCUCCCCCAGCGUGUCCAAGCACGGACUGUCAGACCGGUGCGUUUUACGCAUAUCCUUUCCAGGCGUGCAGCAGAAAUAAAAUUGGACCUGGACGGGGAUGGGAAGUGGAUCAGCUGUUGCUGGCCAGAGCUGAAGGUGACUUGCUGGCUGGGCCAACGGCUGCAACACAGGACAUGGGUCCUGCCUCUCCUCCCCGCUCGUGUCUUGUGUUGCAGCCAGUGGAGCUGCCUG
This is a long non-coding RNA of Oreochromis aureus, 656 nucleotides long. The record is from Ensembl. Lineage: Eukaryota; Metazoa; Chordata; Actinopteri; Cichliformes; Cichlidae.